Molecule: long non-coding RNA, 1469 nt
Organism: Macrobrachium nipponense
Lineage: Eukaryota; Metazoa; Arthropoda; Malacostraca; Decapoda; Palaemonidae
Exons: 3
Source: RefSeq, a predicted model, not a curated record
UUUCCAUUUGUUUAAAGAAAAGAGAAAAUGUGAGCGAAUUGUUACGUUCGGGUUACAUCGCCGAAGGUUCUGAUUCGUUUGCCGCCGGUGCUCAAAGUCCACAAACCCCCUGCCGGGUGCUUAUAUGGAGGAUGCAAUCGGUAACUCCUCCUCUCCCCUAGUGGGCCCCUGUCUUCCACGCCCUGCCCCCCACCCACCCAUUAUGCUCACGUCAUUUAAGGCAAAUCCUUACACCAGCUUCGACCGAGUUCCUGUGCAUUGGAUUACUUUGGAUUCCAUUUUCGUGUUCGGCUCACACCAUCAGGCUACUAUUCACGUCAUAUUUUAGCAUCUUCACCUCCUAUGUUACGAUAAACAUCUGAUUAAUUAAAUGAAUAAAUAGGCGGUUAAACCUUAAGCCGAAUGCAGGGUGAAGAAUUAAGAAUGAUGGCACCUUUAGAACUUCCUUCCACAUUUGGAUAUAGGCCACCACGGUCGCGGCUGCAUUUUCCGGUACGAUAUUUUGUCCUUCCCUGAAGCCCAGAUUUUUCGUGAAACUAGUGGGUGCUCAACGUCUUUCAUCGUUUUAACACUAACAAUGCGACCUUCAGCAUUCACCCUUAGAAAAGCUAGAGGACAAUGCGAAGGAAAUUCCUUUCACGAAGGCUCACCUCUGUAUACCUACCACCGGCGUCGCCUUACCCUCUGCCCUGACACAGUGUAGCUUCGAUCCUAUGAUCCCGCCUCCCUCCACGCACCGGUCUUUCGAGUUUCAUUAACUGAGAGGGUCAGUAGUACAUCAGCAAUAAACAAAAGGAGUCUGUUCGUCCUUGAAACUUGUACGGUGCUUAUCCUCUCACCUUUAAACCCAUUCCUGUGAAAAGCAGCACGAGUGAUAGUGACCAAAGUUGGAAAAAUUGCACUCGAUCCAAGUUGAAUACAUUGCACGUUUUAGAAAGGAUCCCAUAAUGCGUCCGUGUUUGCAGCAGCUUCAUAUUCAUAAACGCAUGCUGGUUUCAUGUUGAUAGCAGAGGAAAUUAGAUCUCUACGACAAUGUUCAUUAAGGUGUAACCCGAUCUAUGAUAAAAUCGUGGUAAAACAAGAUAAUAAAAUGUUUUCGUCAAGAUUUGUAAUCAACUGUUAAGGGAAAUUAUUGUGUAAAGCAAAAAAAAACUUGUGAUAAAUCAUGUCAUAUCCAUCGUCAAAAAAGCGGAAGAUAUCAGUCAACGUUUAUCAAAUGAGUGGUUGCUUGUACAACUACUUGCUGAGAGAGAAAGGUGUGGGUUGGACCCCUGCAGACACUAACAGACUAGAGUAGAAGUAUUCUUCACUAACGCAGCUAACUCCAGAUGUUAUGAGCUUCCCCGAAAGUGAUAGCCGGGUGGAGCAUCACUACCGACACUCCUGUGGUGCGAUGUGGUUCAACUCUGACUUGGGCUUCCACCAUGAUAAUGGCUCUGUGCUCAAUAAAUGAUGUGAUAUCCGUUUGA